This is a long non-coding RNA of Nannospalax galili (Upper Galilee mountains blind mole rat), 1021 nucleotides long. RefSeq lists it as uncharacterized. The transcript has 3 exons. NCBI's taxonomy places the organism in Eukaryota, Metazoa, Chordata, Mammalia, Rodentia, Spalacidae. The record is from RefSeq and is a predicted model, not a curated record.
GUAAGGUUCGUUUCAACCUGGUUCUCUCUGUGAUGGCUUCUCGGCCUACACAGCCCAUUCAGGUGCCAUGGACUCAUGCUUGCGGCCGCCUUUCCCUGGAAAAUCUUGUUCUUGGGAAGGAGCUGGUGACCUAACUCAUGCUGAGACCCAGUCGUUGUGGGAGUGUGACCACUCAGGAUUUCAAAGCCCGUUGCAGUAACCAAAUUCUCCACAAAACCAAAAAGAAUGGAGAAGCUGGCCUCCUGAACCAUUACUUGAGGAAGCCCGGCAGCCAACAAACCUUUGCCACUGGCUGGAUGAGGAAGAAGUUGAGAGUGUACCCAAGGUAUGGGAUGUUCUAGCCUGCAGGGCCCAUUGACUGCGUCCUCUGCACUGCCUAACCCAGUCCUCCCUGGCAAAGCCUCUACAUCUGCACUGGAGAAGCCACCUGGGCAGAGUGACCAGCAAGCUCCAUAAAGGUCCAGUAUGCCACCUGGGCCAGGCUUCAGGCCAUAGGUGCUCUCAUCAUCACUACCCAGGAAAAUGGCCCUUCCUGAAGAGAACUUGGUGCUCUGGGGGAAUCCUGGAGAUUCUGGGACAGAGAAGGCCACCUUCCAUCUGUGGGACCUAUAAAAUCCCACUGGAAGAGCCAGCCAGGACAAGGGUAUGUCCUGGGGAGUGACACAGAUGUGGGGUUCUAGCCCUCCCUAGGGCUGCAGUUCCUUCAUCUUGACCAGGUGGGGUCAAGCCUGUCUCUCAUGCUAUGGUGUGUGUUCCCUCAGUCAGCCUCUAAGAAAGGGAGAAUGGGCUGAAGGAGAAGAGAGGCAGAGAAGCUGAGGAGGGGAACAAGAUCUUACCUGUGAGUCUAGCCAAGGUUGGGCAGUGCAGGGGCUCCUUUGGGGUCCAUUGCAGGGGGCAACAGCAGGAUUUGAUGGCCCCUCCUCGCCAUGUACUGCUCUCUGUUGCCUCUGGCUAGGCACUGGCCUUAUACAGCAGCUGACCUGAAACCUAAUGCUGAGAAGCUAGUUGACAGUCUGGCCAC